This 253-nucleotide ribosomal RNA is filed under the name uncultured bacterium. Its description in RNAcentral is "partial 16S ribosomal RNA". It matches the Rfam family "Bacterial small subunit ribosomal RNA", at positions 524 to 776 of the family's 1533-position model. The record is from RNAcentral.
UACGAAGGGGGCUAGCGUUGCUCGGAAUCACUGGGCGUAAAGCGCACGUAGGCGGGUCGCUAAGUCAGGGGUGAAAUCCUGGAGCUUAACUCCAGAACUGCCUUUGAUACUGGCGACCUUGAGUCCGGGAGAGGUGAGUGGGACUGCGAGUGUAGAGGUGAAAUUCGUAGAUAUUCGCAAGAACACCAGUGGCGAAGGCGGCUCACUGGCCCGGUACUGACGCUGAGGUGCGAAAGCGUGGGGAGCAAACAGG